Long non-coding RNA from Oncorhynchus keta (chum salmon), 466 nucleotides. RefSeq lists it as uncharacterized. The record is from RefSeq and is a predicted model, not a curated record. NCBI's taxonomy places the organism in Eukaryota, Metazoa, Chordata, Actinopteri, Salmoniformes, Salmonidae. The transcript is spliced from 4 exons.
AGAGAGGUCUGAGAGAACAGGAGAGAGAGAGGGGUCUGAGAGAACAGGAGAGAGAGAGAGAGGUCUGAGAGAACAGGGGAGAGAGAGAGAGGUCUGAGAGAACAGGAGAGAGAGAGAGAGGUCUGAGAGAACAGGGGAGAGAGAGAGGUCUGAGAGAACAGGAGAGAGAGGGGUCUGAGAGAACAGGAGAGAGAGAGAGGUCUGAGAGAACAGGAGAGAGAGAGAGGUCUGAGAGAACAGGAGAGAGAAGGGUCUGAGAGAACAGGAGAGAGAGAGAGAGGUCUGAGAGAACAGGAGAGAGAGAGAGGUCUGAGAGAACAGGAGAGAGAAGGGUCUGAGAGAACAGGAGAGAGAGAGAGAGAGGUCUGAGAGAACAGGAGAGAGAGAGAGAGGUCUGAGAGAACAGGAGAGAGAGAGAGAGAGGUCUGAGAGAACAGGAGAGAGAGAGAGAGAGGUCUGAGAGAAC